UUUCAUUUGUGUACCGAACAGUAUUAAAGUCUCCAAGAAUAAUCCAAGGUACAUUGAGACAGCCAUUUACAAUAUUAGUCAGGUCAGACCAAAGAGUAUUUCUUUCUUGCAUACUGUUUGAAGCAUAUAUACUAGUGAAAUUGAAUUGACAGCCAUUCUUUUUGUCCUCUACCUUAAGAUGAAUGAAUUGAUCAGUAGCAGAAAUAAACCAAGCAUUAAUAGAGUUAGGAUGCCAUAAGACCCAUAUUCUACCAAAAGUUUCAUUUGAGUCAUUGGUAAACAGUUCUGCGUCCGACCAUAUUAAAUUCUUUUGAGCUUGAACGCGCGAUUGUUUAAUUUUCG
RNAcentral lists this long non-coding RNA (342 nucleotides) under Musa acuminata (dwarf banana). Its description in RNAcentral is "long non-coding RNA (MACU_LNC008233)". The record is from RNAcentral. Lineage: Eukaryota; Viridiplantae; Streptophyta; Magnoliopsida; Zingiberales; Musaceae.